RNAcentral lists this ribosomal RNA (495 nucleotides) under uncultured bacterium. Its description in RNAcentral is "partial 16S ribosomal RNA". It matches the Rfam family "Bacterial small subunit ribosomal RNA", at positions 28 to 507 of the family's 1533-position model. The record is from RNAcentral.
GACGAACGCUGGCGGCGUGCCUAAUACAUGCAAGUAGAACGCUGAAGGAGGAGCUUGCUUCUCUGGAUGAGUUGCGAACGGGUGAGUAACGCGUAUGUAACCUGCCUGGUAGCGGGGGAUAACUAUUGGAAACGAUAGCUAAUACCGCAUAAGAGUAGAUGUUGCAUGACAUUUGCUUAAAAGGUGCAAUUGCCUCACUACCAGAUGGACCUGCGUUGUAUUAGCUAGUUGGUGGGGUAACGGCUCACCAAGGCGACGAUACAUAGCCGACCUGAGAGGGUGAUCGGCCACACUGGGACUGAGACACGGCCCAGACUCCUACCGGAGGCAGCAGUAGGGAAUCUUCGGCAAUGGACGGAAGUCUGACCGAGCAACGCCGCGUGAGUGAAGAAGGUUGUCGGAUCGUAAAGCUCUGUUGUAAGAGAAGAACGAGUGUGAGAGUGGAAAGUUCACACUGUGACGGUAUCUUACCAGAAAGGGACGGCUAACUACGUG